Molecule: ribosomal RNA, 777 nt
Filed under: uncultured Neocallimastigales
Lineage: Eukaryota; Fungi; Neocallimastigomycota; Neocallimastigomycetes; Neocallimastigales
Description: partial large subunit ribosomal RNA
Rfam family: Eukaryotic large subunit ribosomal RNA
Source: RNAcentral
CGUCUAUAUACGUAUAGCAUAUCAAUAAGCGGAGGAAAAGAAACUAACUAGGAUUCCCUUAGUAACGGCGAGUGAAGCGGGAAGAGCUCAAAUUUGAAAUCUUCAAGGUUUUACCUUGACGAAUUGUAGUUUAAAGAAGUGUUUUCUGUUGGAGUUUUGGUAAAAGUUCUUUGGAAUAGGACAUCAUAGAGGGUGAGAAUCCCGUAUUUGACCAUUAUUUCCAACUUUGUGAUACACUUUCAAAGAGUCGGAUUGUUUGGGAAUGCAGUCCAAAAUGGGUGGUAAAUUUCAUCUAAAGCUAAAUACUUGGCGAGAGACCGAUAGCGAACAAGUACCGUGAGGGAAAGAUGAAAAGAACUUUGAAAAGAGAGUUAAACAGUACGUGAAAUUGUCAAAAGGGAAGCGUUUGACACCAGUGUUGUUUUCUCGAAAAUCAAUUAAAAAUGGCUGGGAUGUUGUGUUGUAUUGACUUUAUCAGCUUUCUGCACUUUUUUUCCUAUCUUUUUUAAUGCACUUUUCGUUUAACAAGUCAACAUCAAUUUCUUUUGUUGUAAAAGAGUCAUUGGAAGGUGGCUUUCUUUUCGGAGAAAGUGUUUAUAGCCUUUGGCUUCUGCAAUCGGAGAGAUUGAGGUCUGCAGCGUAGAUCCUUCGGGGUUAGAUACAUUUGUGCUAAGUUAUAGCCUUUCAUAGACAACUUGUUGACUAUGAUCAGUCAUGUAGCUUACUCGCUUAUGUCAUUUUACCUACGCUUAGGAUGUUGACACACGCGCGUGCUCG